AGAUUGAACGCUGGCGGCGUGCUUAACACAUGCAAGUCGAGCGGUAACGCGGGAGCAAUCCUGGCGACGAGCGGCGAACGGGUGAGUAAUGCUUGGGAAUCUGCCCAUUAGUGGGGAACAACCAGCCGAAAGGUUGGCUAAUACCGCAUACGCCCUACGGGGGAAAGCGGGGGAUCGUAAGACCUCGCGCUAAUGGAUGAGCCCAAGUCGGAUUAGCUUGUUGGUAGGGUAACGGCCUACCAAGGCGACAAUCCGUAGCUGGUCUGAGAGGACGACCAGCCACACUGGGACUGAGACACGGCCCAGACUCCUACGGGAGGCAGCAGUGGGGAAUAUUGGACAAUGGGGGAAACCCUGAUCCAGCGACGCCGCGUGUGUGAAGAAGGCCUGCGGGUUGUAAAGCACUUUUAGUGGGGAUGAAAAGCCUAGGGUUAACACCUCUGGGUCUUGACCUAACCCACAGAAAAAGCACCGGCUAACUCUGUGCCAGCAGCCGCGGU
This 500-nucleotide ribosomal RNA is filed under the name uncultured bacterium. RNAcentral's name for it is "SSU rRNA". It matches the Rfam family "Bacterial small subunit ribosomal RNA", at positions 26 to 521 of the family's 1533-position model. The record is from RNAcentral.